This 319-nucleotide ribosomal RNA is filed under the name uncultured eukaryote. RNAcentral's name for it is "partial 18S ribosomal RNA". It matches the Rfam family "Eukaryotic small subunit ribosomal RNA", at positions 1470 to 1796 of the family's 1831-position model. The record is from RNAcentral.
CCCUUAGAUGUUCUGGGCGGCCCGCGCACUACAAUGGCGUGUGCAGCGAGUGCCGAAGUAGAGUUUUCCGAGGUAUUCUUGCAAUGCUCGUUUUGAUGGGGAUAGACCCUUGCAACUGUUGGUUUUGAACGAGGAAUUCCUUGUAAGCAUGGUUUAUCAUCCGACGCUGAAUGCGUCCCUGCCCUUUGUACACACCGCCCGUCGCUCCUACCGAUUGAAUGUUCCGGUGAGCUCUUCGGACUGCGCGGUCUGCAGUUUCUGCGUUCCGUGCGGAAAGUUGUGCAAACCUUAACAUUUAGAGGAAGGAGAAGGCGUAACA